This 221-nucleotide long non-coding RNA is filed under the name Amborella trichopoda. RNAcentral describes it as "long non-coding RNA (ATRI_LNC001608)". Lineage: Eukaryota; Viridiplantae; Streptophyta; Magnoliopsida; Amborellales; Amborellaceae. The record is from RNAcentral.
AAUUUAAAAAAAUGAAAAACCUCAGAAAAAGCCCUUAACUGUGAUGUAUUCGUACUCUGAUUAGAGCUCAAAUAUCAGAGCUCAAUGAAAUUUUUAAUGUAUUCGUACUUUGAUCAAAGCUCAAAUAUCAAAGCUCAAAGAUCAGAAAGACCUCAUAAAAAGCUCAGAAAAAGCCCUAAACUUCUUCUUUUACCAAUUUUCGCUCAAAAAAAGCUCAAAUA